RNAcentral lists this ribosomal RNA (475 nucleotides) under uncultured organism. Its description in RNAcentral is "partial 16S ribosomal RNA". It matches the Rfam family "Bacterial small subunit ribosomal RNA", at positions 335 to 801 of the family's 1533-position model. The record is from RNAcentral.
ACUCCUGCGGGAGGCAGCAGUGGGGAAUAUUGCACAAUGGGCGCAAGCCUGAUGCAGCCAUGCCGCGUGUAUGAAGAAGGCCUUCGGGUUGUAAAGUACUUUCAGCGGGGAGGAAGGCAAUACGGUUAAUAACCGUGUUGAUUGACGUUACCCGCAGAAGAAGCACCGGCUAACUCCGUGCCAGCAGCCGCGGUAAAACGGAGGGUGCAAGCGUUAAUCGGAAUUACUGGGCGUAAAGCGCACGCAGGCGGUCUGUCAAGUCGGAUGUGGAAUCCCCGGGCUCAACCUGGGAACUGCAUUCGAAACUGGCAGGCUUGAGUCUUGUAGAGGGGGGUAGAAUUCCAGGUGUAGCGGUGAAAUGCGUAGAGAUCUGGAGGAAUACCGGUGGCGAAGGCGGCCCCCUGGACAAAGACUGACGCUCAGGUGCGAAAGCGUGGGGAGCAAACAGGAUUAGAAACCCGGGUAGUCCCAUGAU